CAGUAGCCGCGGGAAUACAGAGGGUGCGAGCGUUAAUCGGAUUUACUGGGCGUAAAGCGUGCGUAGGCGGCUUCUUAAGUCGGAUGUGAAAUCCCUGAGCUUAACUUAGGAAUUGCAUUCGAUACUGGGAAGCUAGAGUAUGGGAGAGGAUGGUAGAAUUCCAGGUGUAGCGGUGAAAUGCGUAGAGAUCUGGAGGAAUACCGAUGGCGAAGGCAGCCAUCUGGCCUAAUACUGACGCUGAGGUACGAAAGCAUGGGGAGCAAACAGGAUUAGAACCCCAGUAGUCCCUGUCUCUUAUACC
This 301-nucleotide ribosomal RNA is filed under the name uncultured bacterium. Its description in RNAcentral is "partial 16S ribosomal RNA". It matches the Rfam family "Bacterial small subunit ribosomal RNA", at positions 509 to 808 of the family's 1533-position model. The record is from RNAcentral.